RNAcentral lists this non-coding RNA (24 nucleotides) under Arabidopsis thaliana (thale cress). Lineage: Eukaryota; Viridiplantae; Streptophyta; Magnoliopsida; Brassicales; Brassicaceae. The record is from RNAcentral.
ACCAUGGGGUUAUGGAGUAAACGC